Molecule: transfer RNA, 65 nt
Filed under: Arboridia sp. 1 NZ-2023a
Lineage: Eukaryota; Metazoa; Arthropoda; Insecta; Hemiptera; Cicadellidae
Description: tRNA-Val
Source: RNAcentral
CAGAAUGUAGCUUAUUUAAAGUUAUUUAUUUACAUUAAAUUGAAAAUAUUAUUUAUUCUUUCUGA